Molecule: transfer RNA, 59 nt
Filed under: Parachtes riberai
Lineage: Eukaryota; Metazoa; Arthropoda; Arachnida; Araneae; Dysderidae
Description: tRNA-Asn
Source: RNAcentral
CAUAAAUAAAGCUUAAAUUAGCGGUUUCAAUGUUAAUGAAAUGUAAGUAGGUUGUACGA